This 356-nucleotide ribosomal RNA is filed under the name uncultured eukaryote. RNAcentral's name for it is "partial 18S ribosomal RNA". It matches the Rfam family "Eukaryotic small subunit ribosomal RNA", at positions 1470 to 1796 of the family's 1831-position model. The record is from RNAcentral.
CCCUUAGAUGUUCUGGGCCGCACGCGCGCUACACUGAUGAACACAACAAGUACACUCGGCUUCAUCUCCUUUUCUAAGGAGAUUCCGAUUCCUUGAUUGAUAAGUCUGGGAAAUCUUUUGAACGUUCAUCGUGAUGGGGCUAGAUUCUUGCAAUUUUUAAUCUUAAACGAGGAAUAACUAGUAAACGCAAUUCAUCAGAUUGCAUUGAUUACGUCCCUGCCCUUUGUACACACCGCCCGUCGCACCUACCGAGUUGAAUGAUCCGGUGAGAAUUUUGGAUUUGUCCUUUCCGCUUUAGGAAUGUGAUGGAAAAAUUAUUCAAAUCUUAUCAUUUCGAGGAAGGUGAAGUCGUAACA